AAGUCGUAACAAGGUAUCCGUAGGUGAACCUGCGGAUGGAUCAUUAAAAGUAUAACAUACUUUACACUCUCGUGAACUUGUUUAUUUAACCAAAAAAUGGUGGUGAUGCGUCGAUGGGUGUAACAGCCUAUUUGCGUAUUAUUACUCAUUUUUUUAUUAUUACACUAUUUACCCUUUGUAUUAAUUUGAAUCUAUUUGGCUAUGCGGGAAACUGCAUAACUGAAAAAAUAUAAAAAAUUUUCGUG
Molecule: unclassified non-coding RNA, 245 nt
Filed under: plant metagenome
Description: partial contains small subunit ribosomal RNA and internal transcribed spacer 1
Rfam family: Eukaryotic small subunit ribosomal RNA (bases 1-46)
Source: RNAcentral